Molecule: ribosomal RNA, 253 nt
Filed under: uncultured bacterium
Lineage: Bacteria
Description: partial 16S ribosomal RNA
Rfam family: Bacterial small subunit ribosomal RNA
Source: RNAcentral
UACGUAGGGGGCUAGCGUUGUCCGGAAUCAUUGGGCGUAAAGAGCGUGUAGGCGGCCCGGUAAGUCCGCUGUAAAAGUCAAAGGCUCAACCUUUGAAUGUCAGUGGAUACUGUCGCGCUAGAGUGCAGAAGGGGCAAUCGGAAUUCUCGGUGUAGCGGUGAAAUGCGUAGAUAUCGAGAGGAACACCAGAGGUGAAGACGGGUUGCUGGGCUGACACUGACGCUGAGGCGCGAAAGCCAGGGGAGCAAACGGG